GUGGCCCUUUGCAUAGGUAUUCUGUCAAGGUGUGAGGAAAGUUAAACGCAUGCCUGUGCUUAGGGCCUCUGCCAAGGUGAAGGGUGUUCUGGUCUCUGUGUCCUCUUCAGAAGCAAGAUGGCAGGCUUCUGUGGACUGCGAUGGUGAAGAC
Long non-coding RNA from Microtus oregoni (creeping vole), 151 nucleotides. RefSeq lists it as uncharacterized. Lineage: Eukaryota; Metazoa; Chordata; Mammalia; Rodentia; Cricetidae. The transcript has 3 exons. The record is from RefSeq and is a predicted model, not a curated record.